This 389-nucleotide ribosomal RNA is filed under the name uncultured bacterium. RNAcentral's name for it is "bacterial SSU rRNA". It matches the Rfam family "Bacterial small subunit ribosomal RNA", at positions 97 to 520 of the family's 1533-position model. The record is from RNAcentral.
GGCGCACGGGUGCGUAACGCGUGGGAAUCUUGCCCUUAGGUUCGGAAUAACAGUUAGAAAUGACUGCUAAUACCGGAUAAAGACGUAAGUCCAAAGAUUUAUCGCCUAGGGAUGAGCCCGCGUAGGAUUAGCUAGUUGGUGGGGUAAAAGCCUACCAAGGCGACGAUCCUUAGCUGGUCUGAGAGGACGAUCAGCCACACUGGGACUGAGACACGGCCCAGACUCCUACGGGAGGCAGCAGUGGGGAAUAUUGGACAAUGGGCGCAAGCCUGAUCCAGCAAUGCCGCGUGGGUGAAGAAGGUCUUCGGAUUGUAAAGCCCUUUCGGCGGGGACGAUGAUGACGGUACCCGCAGAAGAAGCCCCGGCUAACUUCGUGCCAGCCGCCGCGG